RNA transcript from Bombus impatiens (common eastern bumble bee), 3208 nucleotides. It is a transcript of the gene named charged multivesicular body protein 1b, with no coding region annotated. The record is from RefSeq and is a predicted model, not a curated record. NCBI's taxonomy places the organism in Eukaryota, Metazoa, Arthropoda, Insecta, Hymenoptera, Apidae. The transcript is spliced from 5 exons.
AACUUGUUAAUAUAUUUGUUAAAUUUGAUACAGUUGAAUAAGUUACAAUCAUUAUUAUAUUUUUCAAGAUUGUGUGACGAAAUAUCAUAUACGAUAUCUAUAUUAUAGUUUAUCCAUGAUUUUAUCUGAUCUUAUUACCAAAGAGGAAAUUUCCUUUCUGAUAUUAUAUAGUCAAUGAGCGUUUAAGGCGUUCUCAGUUGGUGUAGCAGUUUAUAUUCUAAAAAAUAUAUUCUACUUUUCCAUCUAUGAAAAUAUAUUUUUCAUUUAUGUCAUCUAUCAAAUGAAUAGUAAUAAUUAAUCAUACAGUAAUCUUUUUACUUAGAUAUCUACCAAAAUAAUCAAAAUUAAUCAUCGUUAGAGUACCAAUACCUGUUAAAUAUUAAUAUUUAUCAUGUCAGGUAAAUUCAAAUUUGAAUGACAGUUGAUUUCAUUAAAUAGCAACGCAUAUUGUCACUUGUUAUAUCUUUGCUGACAGAAGCAAAGUAAUUCUAUUGUUUGAACCUAUCGUUCAUUUUUAAAAUCUCAUCAAAACGGGGGCUGAACAGUCAAUUAUGUCCGUCUCCCAGAUGGAAAGAAAUUUAUUCAAUCUCAAAUUUGCUGUGAAGGAAUUAGAGAGAAAUUCCAAGAAAUGCGAAAAAGAAGAAAAGGUGGAAAAGGCAAAAAUAAAAAAAGCCAUUCAAAAAGGUAAUAUGGAGGGCGCCCGAAUUCAUGCAGAAAAUGCAAUUCGCCAACGUAAUCAGGCACUUAAUUAUUUACGGAUGAGUGCAAGAGUUGAUGCAGUAGCUAGCAGAGUACAAACUGCUUUGACUACACGCAAAGUUACUCAGUCAAUGGCUGGAGUAGUUAAAGCCAUGGAUGCAGCAAUGAAAUCAAUGAAUUUAGAAAAAAUUUCAGGUCUUAUGGAUAAGUUUGAAAGUCAGUUUGAAGAUUUGGAUGUACAAAGUUCAUACAUGGAGAAUGCUAUGUCUCAAACUACGACAACAAAUGUUCCACAAAAUGAUGUUGAUUCUUUAUUACAACAAGUUGCAGACGAAGCUGGUUUGGAGUUGAAUAUGGAAUUGCCAUCUGGACAGUUAGGUAGUAUAGGUACCUCUACUAUCAGUCAAGAACAAGAUGAACUUACACAACGGUUAGCAAGACUUCGUGAAUAGUGAUACAGAUGUAAAAUCUAGUUACAUCACAGGUACAUAAUGAGAAAGAUAUAUCUUUAUCUGCUAUAAUUUGCAUUAACUUAUUAACCUUUUGACUGCCAUAUAAGAGUUUAAUGGAAAUGAUCACCAUAUACUAUCCUUGUCUAUAAUUGCUUGCCAUAUACAGAGACUGGUUUAUUUUGUAACGGUCAGUGUACAAAGGGUUAAAAGAAAACGUAUAGAGACAUUUUCUUUAUGUACAGUCCAUGAUGUUAAACCUUUUUCUUAAAUCUUAUUCAUUUAUUUCGAGUAAAAUUAUGUAGUAAUAAUAUAAAAAACUAAAAUCUCCCACCUGAGGUUUAUCAUUAGGUUUCUCAGUUAUUUGUAUGAGACAAACAUAUAUUGUUCAGUAAAUGUACAUAUUUAUUUAAAAUUGCAGAAUUCCAUUAAACCAAUUGAAAAAUAUUAUAAUAAUUAAGUAAUUGAGAAAUAUUAUAGCUUAAAAUGAUUUCAAAAUUAUAGCAGUAUAUAAAUAUAUUUAUAGCCAAUGGGAUUAUACAGAGUGUUCCAUUUGAAGUUACGCAUGCAAUUAUUUCCCAAACUAUAGUUUGUUUUAAAAAAUGUUUCAAAUGGAACUUACCCUGUCCUGGGAAGAAGGGAGGCAUGUUACAGUGAUCACAAACCUUCUCUAAGUGGACGUGCUUCCAAGAUUUCAAGUUUUUUUUAUGCGGAACUAUAUGUUUUUAUUUAGAUAGGCAUGUAACCCGUUCCGGGAUGAAUUUAUCGAUUGUAUAAUAUAAUAUAAUAUAUUGGUGUUUGAAGGUCAUUUAUUGCCGUUCAAAACAUACUGUUGUUGAACGUCCAGAAAUUGUUUCUUAUGUAUUCAAAAGGAUGACUUUUGUAGUCAGUACAAUUAUUUACUCUAUUUCUAUAUGAUACCUGCACCUUCUCGAAAGUGACAGAACUAAUUCUUCCAAAUUCCUCACAUUCUUCCAAAAUUAGAGGCAUAUCGGCAAUCUUAUUGCGAAAUUAUUGCGAAUUUAUUGCGAGUUUAUUAUUGCGUAUAAUGAACCGUCGUAAAUUAAAUCGUUACCGGAAGAAAGUACACCUUAAUACUAUUUGCAAUAAUGAUUCAUUCGAAGCAACUAUCAUACAAACUGAGGAUAUCUGUCUAGUAGCAAAUUAUAGUUAUUAAUAAACAAAAACAAAUACGAAUAACGAUAAAUCGCAUCAUUUGUAUAAUUUUGAUUCAUGUUUACCAUCUGAAUCGACGCAAUACUUCAGUAAAUCAAAUCCUGAGAACGUUCGAAGAAAGUAAGUUUUUGAAAGGCAAUGAAUGACCUUCGAGUACCAACAUAUUAUGAGUCGAUGAAUUCGUCACGAAAUGAGCUACACACCUUCUUAAAUAAAAAAAUACAGUUCCGUAUAAAAAAAACAAAGAUCUCCUUAAAAUCUCGGAAACACGUCCACCUAGAGAAGAUUUAUGAUCACCCCUCAUCCCUUCCGAAAUAAGGUAAGUUUUAUUUGAAACAUUUUUUUAAACGAACUAUAGUAUGGAAAUUAAUUGCAAACUCCACCUGAAACACCUUAUAUAUCUUUCUUAUCUCUGUAACAAGUACCUAUAAAUAAUGAACACGUUAGAAUGUUUAACACAAAUUGCUUGAAUAAAAAGAGUUUACUUGCUAUAUAUCCAUGAACAAAAUAAGCUUUUAAUAUAAUCAAAACUCAUUUGUUAUAUUAUAAGAUUAGAUUUCUGUAGAAUAAAAAGAAAGCACUAUUAAUUGUUAUUAAUAAUUAUUAAUAAUUAUUGAUAAUAAUUAUUAAUAUAAUUAAUUUUGCACAAUAUUGUAAACAUAGCAGGUACUACUCUCUAUGAUAUGAGAAAGAAUAUACUUUUAUAUAAAGACAAUUUAUCAAAGAAAAGCUUUAUUACUGCAAUGGUAUUUAUGUUGUAAACAUACUAUAUGACAGAAUAAUUCAAGUAGAUUGAUUGUACUUUAAAAACAAUUUGUAGCAAUAAAUGCUUGUAUUAUAUGUGUAUCAUAUAUUAAAUACAUAAUAUGAUACGCAGUUUAUUA